CAGCCGCCGCGGUAAGACAGAGGAUGCAAGCGUUAUCCGGAAUGAUUGGGCGUAAAGGGUCUGUAGGUGGCUUUUCAAGUCCGCCGUCAAAUCCCAGGGCUCAACCCUGGACAGGCGGUGGAAACUACCAAGCUGGGGUACGGUAGGGGCAGAGGGAAUUUCCGGUGGAGCGGUGAAAUGCGUUGGGAUCGGAAAGAACACCAACGGCGAAAGCACUCUGCUGGGCCGACACUGACACUGAGAGACGAAAGCUAGGGGAGCAAAUGGGAUUAGAGACCCCAGUAGUCCCUGUCUCUUAUAC
This 301-nucleotide ribosomal RNA is filed under the name uncultured bacterium. RNAcentral's name for it is "partial 16S ribosomal RNA". It matches the Rfam family "Bacterial small subunit ribosomal RNA", at positions 509 to 807 of the family's 1533-position model. The record is from RNAcentral.